RNAcentral lists this transfer RNA (69 nucleotides) under Amphiophiura penichra. RNAcentral's name for it is "tRNA-Met". It matches the Rfam family "tRNA". From Rfam's summary of the family: Transfer RNA (tRNA) molecules are approximately 80 nucleotides in length. Their secondary structure includes four short double-helical elements and three loops (D, anti-codon, and T loops). Lineage: Eukaryota; Metazoa; Echinodermata; Ophiuroidea; Amphilepidida; Ophiuridae. The record is from RNAcentral.
UGUAAGAUAUGUUAAAUAAACUGUUGGGCUCAUGACUCAAAUAUAGAGGUGAGACUUCUCUUUUUACUU